AUGUGGAGCCGUAGCGAAAGCGAGUCUGAAUAGGGCGUUGAGUAUUUGGUCGUAGACCCGAAACCAGGUGAUCUACCCAUGGUCAGGUUGAAGUUCAGGUAACACUGAAUGGAGGACCGAACCGACUUACGUUGAAAAGUGAGCGGAUGAACUGUGGGUAGCGGAGAAAUUCCAAUCGAACUUGGAGAUAGCUGGUUCUCUCCGAAAUAGCUUUAGGGCUAGCCUCAAGUGAUGAUUAUUGGAGGUAGAGCACUGUUUGGACGAGGGGCCCCUCUCGGGUUACCGAAUUCAGACAAACUCCGAAUGCCAAUUAAUUUAACUUGGGAGUCAGAACAUGGGUGAUAAGGUCCGUGUUCGAAAGGGAAACAGCCCAGACCACCAGCUAAGGUCCCAAAAUAUAUGUUAAGUGGAAAAGGAUGUGGCGUUGCCCAGACAACUAGGAUGUUGGCUUAGAAGCAGCCAUCAUUUAAAGAGUGCGUAAUAGCUCACUAGUCGAGUGACACUGCGCCGAAAAUGUACCGGGGCUAAACAUAUUACCGAAGCUGUGGAUUGUCCGUAGGACAAUGGUAGGAGAGCGUUCUAAGGGCGUUGAAGCAUGAUCGCAAGGACAUGUGGAGCGCUUAGAAGUGAGAAUGCCGGUGUGAGUAGCGAAAGACGGGUGAGAAUCCCGUCCACCGAUUGACUAAGGUUUCCAGAGGAAGGCUCGUCCGCUCUGGGUUAGUCGGGUCCUAAGCUGAGGCCGACAGGCGUAGGCGAUGGAUAACAGGUUGAUAUUCCUGUACCACCUAGCAUCGUUUUAAUCGAUGGGGGGACGCAGUAGGAUAGGCGAAGCGUACGAUUGGAUUGUACGUC
RNAcentral lists this ribosomal RNA (852 nucleotides) under Staphylococcus haemolyticus. RNAcentral describes it as "partial 23S ribosomal RNA". It matches the Rfam family "Bacterial large subunit ribosomal RNA", at positions 658 to 1512 of the family's 2925-position model. RNAcentral also lists the same sequence under 1 other name. The record is from RNAcentral. Lineage: Bacteria; Bacillati; Bacillota; Bacilli; Caryophanales; Staphylococcaceae.